Molecule: ribosomal RNA, 779 nt
Filed under: uncultured bacterium
Lineage: Bacteria
Description: bacterial SSU rRNA
Rfam family: Bacterial small subunit ribosomal RNA
Source: RNAcentral
AGAGUUUGAUCAUGGCUCAGGACGAACGCUGGCGGCGUGCUUAACACAUGCAAGUCGAACGAGAUCCAAUCAGUAGCAAUACUGAUGAAGAUCUAGUGGCGAACGGGUGCGUAACACGUGAGGAACUUGUCCCGGUCUCUGGGAUAACAGUUGGAAACGACUGCUAAUACCGGAUGACGUCGGAACUUCGCAUGGAGUACUGACGAAAGGGCUACUGGAUCGGGAGAGCCUCGCGGCCUAUCAGCUUGUUGGUGGGGUAAUGGCCUACCAAGGCAUCGACGGGUAGCUGGUCUGAGAGGAUGAUCAGCCACACUGGGACUGAGACACGGCCCAGACUCCUACGGGAGGCAGCAGUGGGGAAUCUUGCACAAUGGGCGAAAGCCUGAUGCAGCAACGCCGCGUGCGGGAAGAAGGCCCUCGGGUUGUAAACCGCUUUCAGAAGGAACGAAACUGACGGUACUUUCAGAAGAAGGUGCGGCCAACUACGUGCCAGCAGCCGCGGUGACACGUAGGCACCAAGCGUUGUCCGGAUUUAUUGGGCGUAAAGAGCUCGUAGGCGGUUCAGUAAGUCGGGUGUGAAAACUUUGGGCUUAACCCAAAGCGUGCAUCCGAUACUGCUGUGACUUGAGUACGGUAGGGGAGCGGGGAAUUCCUAGUGUAGCGGUGAAAUGCGCAGAUAUUAGGAGGAACACCGGUGGCGAAGGCGCCGCUCUGGGCCGAAACUGACGCUGAGGAGCGAAAGCAUGGGCAGCAAACAGGAUUAGAUACCCUAGUAGUCC